CAGUAGGACCAAGUUUAUACCGUAGCUUGCUACACCAUAGACUGUGAGUUGCGAACGGGUGAGUAACGCGUAGGUAACCUACCUAUUAGAGGGGGAUAACUAUUGGAAACGAUAGCUAAUACCGCAUAACAGUAUGUAACACAUGUUAGAUGCUUGAAAGAUGCAAUUGCAUCGCUAGUAGAUGGACCUGCGUUGUAUUAGCUAGUAGGUAGGGUAAUGGCCUACCUAGGCAACGAUACAUAGCCGACCUGAGAGGGUGAUCGGCCACACUGGGACUGAGACACGGCCCAGACUCCUACGGGAGGCAGCAGUAGGGAAUCUUCGGCAAUGGGGGGAACCCUGACCGAGCAACGCCGCGUGAGUGAAGAAGGUUUUCGGAUCGUAAAGCUCUGUUGUUAAGGAAGAACGAGUGUGAGAAUGGAAAGUUCAUGCUGUGACGGUACUUAACCAGAAAGGGACGGCUAACUACGUGCCAGCAGCCGCGGUAAUACGUAGGUCCCGAGCGUUGUCCGGAUUUAUUGGGCGUAAAGCGAGCGCAGGCGGUUAGAAAAGUCUGAAGUGAAAGGCAGUGGCUCAACCAUUGUAGGCUUUGGAAACUGUUUAACUUGAGUGCAGAAGGGGAGAGUGGAAUUCCAUGUGUAGCGGUGAAAUGCGUAGAUAUAUGGAGGAACACCGGUGGCGAAAGCGGCUCUCUGGUCUGUAACUGACGCUGAGGCUCGAAAGCGUGGGGAGCGAACAGGAUUAGAUACCCUGGUAGUCCACGCCGUANACGAUGAGUGCUAGGUGUUAGGUCCUUUCCGGGACUUAGUGCCGCAGCUAACGCAUUAAGCACU
This 833-nucleotide ribosomal RNA is filed under the name uncultured bacterium. Its description in RNAcentral is "bacterial SSU rRNA". It matches the Rfam family "Bacterial small subunit ribosomal RNA", at positions 59 to 868 of the family's 1533-position model. The record is from RNAcentral.